AAAUUGAAGAGUUUGAUCAUGGCUCAGAUUGAACGCUGGCGGCAGGCCUAACACAUGCAAGUCGAGCGGAAACGACACUAACAAUCCUUCGGGUGCGUUAUUGGGCGUCGAGCGGCGGACGGGUGAGUAAUGCCUAGGAAAUUGCCUUGAUGUGGGGGAUAACCAUUGGAAACGAUGGCUAAUACCGCAUAAUGCGUACGGGCCAAAGAGGGGGAUCUUCGGACCUCUCGCGUCAAGAUAUGCCUAGGUGGGAUUAGCUAGUUGGUGAGGUAAUGGCUCACCAAGGCGACGAUCUCUAGCUGGUCUGAGAGGAUGAUCAGCCACACUGGAACUGAGACACGGUCCAGACUCCUACGGGAGGCAGCAGUGGGGAAUAUUGCACAAUGGGCGAAAGCCUGAUGCAGCCAUGCCGCGUGUAUGAAGAAGGCCUUCGGGUUGUAAAGUACUUUCAGUUGUGAGGAAGGGGGUAACGUUAAUAGCGUUAUCUCUUGACGUUAGCAACAGAAGAAGCACCGGCUAACUCCGUGCCAGCAGCCGCGGUAAUACGGAGGGUGCGAGCGUUAAUCGGAAUUACUGGGCGU
RNAcentral lists this ribosomal RNA (581 nucleotides) under Vibrio splendidus. RNAcentral describes it as "bacterial SSU rRNA". It matches the Rfam family "Bacterial small subunit ribosomal RNA", at positions 1 to 561 of the family's 1533-position model. The record is from RNAcentral. Lineage: Bacteria; Pseudomonadati; Pseudomonadota; Gammaproteobacteria; Vibrionales; Vibrionaceae.